UACGGAGGAUGCGAGCGUUAUCCGGAUUUAUUGGGUUUAAAGGGUGCGCAGGCGGGCUGUUAAGCCGGCGGUAAAAAUUCAGGGCUCAACCCUGUCGAGCCGUCGGAACCGGGGGCCUUGAGUACCGGAGAAGUACGCGGAAUGCGUGGUGUAGCGGUGAAAUGCAUAGAUAUCGCGCAGAACCCCGAUUGCGAAGGCAGCCUGCCGGCCCCACACUGACGCUGAGGCACGAAAGCGUGGGUAUCGAACAGG
Molecule: ribosomal RNA, 252 nt
Filed under: uncultured Bacteroidales bacterium
Lineage: Bacteria; Pseudomonadati; Bacteroidota; Bacteroidia; Bacteroidales
Description: partial 16S ribosomal RNA
Rfam family: Bacterial small subunit ribosomal RNA
Source: RNAcentral